GGGGGCUUACAUGCAGUCGACGGUGAACACGGAGCUUGCUCUGUGGGAUCAGUGGCGAACGGGUGAGUAACACGUGAGCAACCUGCCCCUGACUCUGGGAUAAGCGCUGGAAACGGCGUCUAAUACUGGAUAUGUGACGUGACCGCAUGGUCUGCGUUUGGAAAGAUUUUUCGGUUGGGGAUGGGCUCGCGGCCUAUCAGCUUGUUGGUGAGGUAAUGGCUCACCAAGGCGUCGACGGGUAGCCGGCCUGAGAGGGUGACCGGCCACACUGGGACUGAGACACGGCCCAGACUCCUACGGGAGGCAGCAGUGGGGAAUAUUGCACAAUGGGCGAAAGCCUGAUGCAGCAACGCCGCGUGAGGGAUGACGGCCUUCGGGUUGUAAACCUCUUUUAGCAGGGAAGAAGCGAAAGUGACGGUACCUGCAGAAAAAGCGCCGGCUAACUACGUGCCAGCAGCCGCGGUAAUACGUAGGNCGCAAGCGUUAUCCGGAAUUAUUGGGCGUAAAGAGCUCGUAGGCGGUUUGUCGCGUCUGCUGUGAAAUCCCGAGGCUCAACCUCGGGCCUGCAGUGGGUACGGGCAGACUAGAGUGCGGUAGGGGAGAUUGGAAUUCCUGGUGUAGCGGUGGAAUGCGCAGAUAUCAGGAGGAACACCGAUGGCGAAGGCAGAUCUCUGGGCCGUAACUGACGCUGAGGAGCGAAAGGGUGGGGAGCAAACAGGCUUAGAUACCCUGGUAGUCCACCCCGUAAACGUUGGGAACUAGUUGUGGGGUCCAUUCCACGGAUUCCGUGACGCAGCUAACGCAUUAAGUUCCCCGCCUGGGGAGUACGGCCGCAAGGCUAAAACUCAAAGGAAUUGACGGGGACCCGCACAAGCGGCGGAGCAUGCGGAUUAAUUCGAUGCAACGCGAAGAACCUUACCAAGGCUUGACAUAUACGAGAAC
This 942-nucleotide ribosomal RNA is filed under the name Microbacterium paraoxydans. Its description in RNAcentral is "bacterial SSU rRNA". It matches the Rfam family "Bacterial small subunit ribosomal RNA", at positions 42 to 997 of the family's 1533-position model. The record is from RNAcentral. Lineage: Bacteria; Bacillati; Actinomycetota; Actinomycetes; Micrococcales; Microbacteriaceae.